Molecule: long non-coding RNA, 715 nt
Organism: Notothenia coriiceps (black rockcod)
Lineage: Eukaryota; Metazoa; Chordata; Actinopteri; Perciformes; Nototheniidae
Exons: 4
Source: RefSeq, a predicted model, not a curated record
GGACUGCGAGGACACUCAUCUGACAUCAAUGAAGACGGUGGCUUCCUGAGUUUCUGAAGAACUUAAGGACUGCGAGGACAUUCAUCUGACAUCAAUGAAGACGGUGGCUUCCUGAGUUUCUGAAGAACUUACGGACUGCGAGGACAUUCAUCUGACAUCAAUGAAGACGGUGGCUUCUGGAGUUUCUGAAGAACUUAAGAGAGUGAAGAGAGGACCCCCCCCCCAUCAAUUGAGACCCCGGCUGCCUAUGUUUCUGAAAAACUUGUGGACGUUUUCAGCCUUGGGGAAGUAUAGCAGACUUAGCAGCCUGAGGGACGUAUAGCAGACUUAACAGACUAUCGAUGUGGCUGCAGUGAGAGCACACAGCCACUUAGCAGACUUAGCCGACUUGGGGCGGUGGCUGGGGUGCCGAGCGGCCCCCCCCAGCCACGUCAGCCCCCCCGACUUAGCAGACUUAGCAGACUUAGCAGGCCUACAGACUUAGCAGACUAUCGGCAGUGACUGCAGGGCCCUGCACAGGAGUGCAGUGAGAGCCGGCAGCCACCUAUCGGCCGCUUAUUAGACUUAGCAGACUUGGGGACGUUUAGCAGACUUAGCAGACUUGGGGACGUUUAGCAGACUUAGCAGACUUGGGGACGUUUAGCAGACUUGGGGACGUUUAGUAGACUUAGCAGACUUGGGGAAGUUUAGCAGACUUGGGGAAGUUUAGCAGACU